Hordeum vulgare subsp. vulgare (domesticated barley) is the source of this 136-nucleotide non-coding RNA. The record is from Rfam. NCBI's taxonomy places the organism in Eukaryota, Viridiplantae, Streptophyta, Magnoliopsida, Poales, Poaceae.
AUCCUACUCCCUCCGUCCCAAAAUUNNNNNNUUAGAUUUGUCUAGAUAUGAAUGUAUCUAGUCACGUUUUAAUAUUUAAAUACAUCUAUUUUUAAAUAAAUGUAAGACAAGAAAUUUGGGACGGAGGGAGUAUUAG